RNAcentral lists this transfer RNA (71 nucleotides) under Brevundimonas denitrificans. Its description in RNAcentral is "tRNA-Ala". The record is from RNAcentral. Lineage: Bacteria; Pseudomonadati; Pseudomonadota; Alphaproteobacteria; Caulobacterales; Caulobacteraceae.
UCCCGACAAGCCGUCGGACGGCGUGGUCUCGCCCGCCGCCUGCCGGGUGUUCGGCUUCACCCUGCCGGAAG